CUACGGGAUGCUGCAGUGGGGAAUAUUGCACAAUGGGCGAAAGCCUGAUGCAGCGACGCCGCGUGAGGGAUGAAGGCCUUCGGGUUGUAAACCUCUUUCAGGAGGGAAGAAGCGAAAGUGACGGUACCUCCAGAAGAAGACCCGGCCAACUACGUGCCAGCAGCCGCGGUAAUACGUAGGGGUCAAGCGUUGUCCGGAUUCAUUGGGCGUAAAGAGCUCGUAGGCGGCUCAGUAAGUCGGUCGGGAAAGCCCGGGGCUCAACCCCGGGACGCCGAUCGAAACUGCUGUGGCUAGGGUUCGGUAGAGGAGAGUGGAAUUCCCGGUGUAGCGGUGAAAUGCGCAGAUAUCGGGAGGAACACCAGUAGCGAAGGCGGCUCUCUGGGCCGACACCGACGCUGAGGAGCGAAAGCUAGGGGAGCAAACAGGAUUAGAUACCCGAGUAGUC
RNAcentral lists this ribosomal RNA (445 nucleotides) under uncultured bacterium. RNAcentral's name for it is "partial 16S ribosomal RNA". It matches the Rfam family "Bacterial small subunit ribosomal RNA", at positions 339 to 795 of the family's 1533-position model. The record is from RNAcentral.